GACGAACGCUGGCGGCGUGCUUAACACAUGCAAGUCGAACGGAAAGGCCUGCUUUCCCUUGUGGAUUGCGGGUGCUCGAGUGGCGAACGGGUGAGUAACACGUGAGUGAUCUGCCCCCAACUUGGGUAUAAGCCCGGGAAACUGGGUCUAAUUCCCGAUAGGACUGCAGGGUGGUGCCUGUGGUGGAAAACGAUUUUCUAGUGGUUGGGGAUGAGCUCGCGGCCUAUCAGCUUGUUGGUGGGGUAAUGGCCUACCAAGGCGGCGACGGGUAGCCGGCCUGGGAGGGGGGACGGGCACAUUGGGACUGGGAAACGGCCCAGACUCCUACGGGAGGCAGCAGUGGGGAAUAUUGCACAAUGGGCGGAAGCCUGAUGCAGCGACGCCGCGUGGGGGAUGACGGCCUUCGGGUUGUAAACUCCUUUCGACCGCGAGGAAGCCACCUGGUUGGAAGGGUGGUGACGGUAGUGGUAGAAGAAGCACCGGCUAACUACGUG
Molecule: ribosomal RNA, 494 nt
Filed under: uncultured bacterium
Lineage: Bacteria
Description: partial 16S ribosomal RNA
Rfam family: Bacterial small subunit ribosomal RNA
Source: RNAcentral